AAAUAGAUCCUGAAACCGUAUGCUUACAAAAAGUAGGAGCCCGCAAGGGUGACUGCGUACCUUUUGUAUAAUGGGUCAGCGACUUGCAUUCAGUGGCAAGGUUAACCGAAUAGGGAAGCCGUAGAGAAAUCGAGUCCGAAUAGGGCGAAUUAGUCGCUGGGUGUAGACCCGAAACCAAGUGAUCUAUCCAUGGGCAGGAUGAAGGUGCCGUAACAGGUACUGGAGGUCCGAACCGACUAAUGUUGCAAAAUUAGCGGAUGACCUGUGGAUAGGGGUGAAAGGCUAAACAAACUUGGAAAUAGCUGGUUCUCUCCGAAAACUAUUUAGGUAGUGCCUCAAGUAUUACCUGCGGGGGUAGAGCACUGUUUUGGCUAGGGGGUCAUGGCGACUUACCAGAACCAAGGCAAACUCCGAAUACCGCAGAGUACAGCUUGGGAGACAGAGCACCGGGCGCUAACGUCUGGACUCAAGAGGGAAACAACCCAGACCGCCAGCUAAGGUCCCUAAAGUUGGCUAAGUGGGAAACGAAGUGGGAAGGCUAAAACAGUCAGGAUGUUGGCUUAGAAGCAGCCAUCAUUUAAAGAAAGCGUAAUAGCUCACUGAUCGAGUCGUCCUGCCCGGAAGAUGUAACGGGGCUAAGCCAGUUACCGAAGCUGCGGAUUUGCAAUUUAUUGCAAGUGGUAGGAGAGCGUUCUGUAAGCCUGUGAAGGUGCGUUGUAAAGCGUGCUGGAGGUAUCAGAAGUGCGAAUGCUGACAUGAGUAGCGUUAAAGGGGGCGAAAAGCCCCCUCGCCGUAAGUGCAAGGUUUUCUACGCAACGUUCAUCGGCGUAGAGUGAGUCGGCCCCUAAGGCGAGGCAGAGAUGCGUAGUUGAUGGGAAACAGGUCAAUAUUCCUGUACCGAUGUGUAGUGCGAUGUGAGGACGGAGAAGGUUAGCUCAGCAGACUGUUGGAUAUGUCUGUUCAAGCCCGUAGUCGUGCCUGGUAGGUAAAUCCGCCGGGCUUAGAUGAGGGGUGAUAACGAGGAAGCUUGCUUCCGAAGUGAGUGAUACCCUGCUUCCAGGAAAAGCCACUAAGCUUCAGCUACACACGACCGUACCGCAAACCGACACUGGUGCGCGAGAUGAGUAUUCUAAGGCGCUUGAGAGAACUCAGGAGAAGGAACUCGGCAAAUUGACACCGUAACUUCGGAAGAAGGUGUGCCUUUAGUAUGUGAACCUGUACAAGGGGAGCAGAAUGAGGCCUCAGAGAAUCGGUGGCUGCGACUGUUUAAUAAAAACACAGCACUCUGCAAACACGAAAGUGGACGUAUAGGGUGUGACGCCUGCCCGGUGCUGGAAGAUUAAAUGGUGGGGUGCAAGCUCUUGAUUGGAGUCCCAGUAAACGGCGGCCGUAACUAUAACGGUCCUAAGGUAGCGAAAUUCCUUGUCGGGUAAGUUCCGACCUGCACGAAUGGCGUAACGAUGGCCACACUGUCUCCUCCUGGGACUCAGCGAAGUUGAAAUGUUUGUGAUGAUGCAAUCUCCCCGCGGAAAGACGGAAAGACCCCAUGAACCUUUACUGUAGCUUUGUAUUGGACUUUGAACAGAUCUGUGUAGGAUAGGUGGGAGGCUUUGAAGCGUGGUUGCUAGACUGCGUGGAGCCAACGUUGAAAUACCACCCUGGUGUGUUUGAGGUUCUAACCUAGGUCCCUUAUCGGGAUCGGGGACAGUGCAUGGUAGGCAGUUUGACUGGGGCGGUCUCCUCCCAAAGCGUAACGGAGGAGUUCGAAGGUACGCUAGUUACGGUCGGACAUCGUGACGAUAGUGCAAUGGCAUAAGCGUGCUUAACUGCGAGACUGACAAGUCGAGCAGAUACGAAAGUAGGACAUAGUGAUCCGGUGGUUCUGUAUGGAAGGGCCAUCGCUCAACGGAUAAAAGGUACUCUGGGGAUAACAGGCUGAUACCGCCCAAGAGUUCAUAUCGACGGCGGUGUUUGGCAUCUCGAUGUCGGCUCAUCUCAUCCUGGGGCUGUAGCCGGUCCCAAGGGUAUGGCUGUUCGCCAUUUAAAGAGGUACGUGAGCUGGGUUUAAAACGUCGUGGGACAGUUUGGUCCCUAUCUUCCGUGGGCGCUG
Molecule: ribosomal RNA, 2110 nt
Filed under: uncultured Limnohabitans sp.
Lineage: Bacteria; Pseudomonadati; Pseudomonadota; Betaproteobacteria; Burkholderiales; Comamonadaceae
Description: partial 23S ribosomal RNA
Rfam family: Bacterial large subunit ribosomal RNA
Source: RNAcentral